GCCGCCUGGAGGGACCCAAGGGCCUUGGGCUGGGACUUGGGGCCGCACCGGGGCCUGAGGCAGAAGAGCGACGCGGACUGGGAGAGGGCGGGGGGCGGCCACCGAGCCAGGAGAGGGAUCAAGAACCAUCGCACUGUGGCCUGAUGCUGUAGCCAGGCGGGGACUCGGGCGGUGGCUACUGCACGGAGGCCGAGUCCGGAUCGGCUGGGGCAGGGUUGGAGGGACCACGCCCGCCACCUGCGCUCCCAUCGCCAGGGCUCCUGGGGGCGGCUCCCUAGCUCCGAGCUACGCUCUCCACUUCCUGGGCUAUCUGCAUUCAGAGCGAGGUUGAUUCGAGGGAAUUAACAAGUUCACCCUCCAAAGUGUAUAGAGAAAGUGGAGGAGCUUAGUGAGAUGCAUAAAUGGGGGAGCAAUCUCACUUUUAAACGGAUAAGUAUGGAGUACGUAUUUCUAUUUUCUGAAUGAAGUUGAAUAAAAUCACCAUUUGUGGAGAAGUUUUCAGUUUUCACUGCAAUCUUGGAGCAAGAAAUGUGCAUCACAACUUCUUUUUCUUUCAAAUGUUUCAUUUGGUGGGCUCUAGAAAGGGCUUUAGACCACAUCAAAUCCUGAGGACUAGGCUCUGCAGAUCUCUUUGAAAUCUUCAUAUGUCCUUGAACAUGUAUUUUAUCACACAAAAAAUUUAAAUCAACAUUGAUAGAACUGCACCUGAGAGAAAAAAUAUCUUCCAGGACAUCAAGAUGACAAAAUGAUAUAAGCAAGGACUUUGGAGUUAGAAUCUGACUGCACUUACUACCUUAGUGACCUUGAGUAAAAUAUUUCACUCUUCAUUUUAUUCAUCUGUAAAAUGGGAGUGGAAGAUUGCUGUAACACUGUGCCCAGAGUAAAUGCUCAAAUAACGAAUCAGUAAAUUGAUGUUUUUGGUAGUAUCACCUGCCCAUGUUUCCUUUCAGCUAUAGUCCACAAACAUGUUUAUGUUUUACCACUUGUAAUUAUUUGUAGGCUAAAUUUAUUUUUUACUGUUUUGUAAACUUAGCAUUUUAUUAUCUCUUAUUAGCUGUGUGUUCCUGGACACGUUAUUUAACCUCUGUGUCCUCAUUUUCUCACCAGUAAAAUGUAUUACUAGUAUCUGGGUUACUAGUAUCCGGAUAAAGUAUAGACUGCCAGUCCAAUUUGAAUUUCAGAUAAACAAUGGGUAAUAAUGCAUGGCACAUAAUUAUACAAAACAAUUAUCUGUUGUUUAUCUGAAAUUCAAAUUGAACUGGGCAUCCUAUAAUUUUAUUUGGUGAUGCUGACAACGCUAUACUAGUACCUAACUCACAAUGCAUAUGAAAUACCAUAGUACCUGGUAUAUGCUCAUAGUAAUACACAUAGUAAAUGCUCAAUAAAUACUAGCCAUUAUUUCUAUUAUUAUAAUUUUCCCAUUGUUAACACUUAUGAUUAUGUAAUUAUUAUUAUUAUUGUGAUGACUAUGUAUAUUCCAAAGAAUGGCUAUGCCUUUUUUAUUUAACCAUUCUUUUGAGGCUAUUCUAGCUUGUAAUUUUUUUUUUUUUAGUAUGAAUAAUGUCUUGUAUUUAUAGUUCCCUAUUUCCUUUUGGGAAAAUUUUUUCGUGAUAAAUUAUAAACAGUGAGCCCUAAUUGCUUUCGGUAGAUCUAUGUUAGUUAGUCCUGCUACAUGUCAACAGUAAAUCUGCUAGUGAAUUAGGUGUAUAAUGUGAACAAAAAGUUGCUAGUUUAACAUGGUUUAAAUAGCUGCCUAGUUGUUUCGAUUUGUGUGUUUUUUUGUUGUUGUUGUUGUUGGUAGGACUGAAUAUUUUUUGUUUUGAACCUUAUAUUUACUCUUAUGUGAUUUUUUGUGUUCUCUACCACAUUCUCUAUCAUGUGCCAGUUUAUUUUUUGAGAAUCUUAAGGUUUUUUCUACCAGUUUCCAUUAAUUAGAAUGUAAAUAUUCUGUCAAAUUAGCUCACAGAAGGAGUAUUGUAUAGUGAAUGAGCUCAGAUUGUCUAUCUAUAAUCAACCCAUUAUAUUUAAGUGUCUUUUGAAAUUUCAGGGAUGCUUCAAUAAAUAGGGAUUAGUGGUAACAUUCUUUUCCAAUGCAAAAUGCUGCAUUCAUUAAUAUGAAAUAUGAGAAAAGUUGUUAUAAUUUGAAUCUCUUUUUCUUUGUGUUUUCUUUCCCACUCCAAACCACCCCACCCUACCCUUAUGUAGCUGUUACUUAACCACAUUGAACGGAUCAAUCUUUUCUAGUUAUAAUUAAGUUAAAUUCCAAAAACAUUUAUUGAGGGCCCCUUAAGUGCUAUGUACAAGGUUGGGCAUCUGUCAUUCAAAGAUACAUUAGACAUGCUUACUGCCCCUAUGGAAUUGACAUAAAACAAUAAUGGCAAUUAAUAAAAUCAAGAAGGGAGAUAUCUACUGGAUACAGUACAGAAAAAAGAGUAGAGAAGUAAUAAGCUGACUUGAGCGGAUCUGCAGAGGCUUCCAACAGAAGGCUAUUCUUGGGCAGAAGAGUUUGCCUGGAAUUUGUUGGUGGGAAGAGCAUUCUAGGAAUUUACAAAGGUCCUAACACAGAAGAGGAUGAAUUCUGGGUAACAGUAAGUUGAGUGUGUUUUGCGAAUGUUGAGAGAUGGAUCUGCUCUAGUAAACAAUGGUCAAAUCAGAUCACGAAAGCCCCUGUAUGCCAUUGCCAAAAUCCCACUGAGGGCUGACUGGAGCGCUCUGAUACAGAAAUCUUGAAAGAAGUACAGUUUAUAUGAUAAGCUCAAAGCAUCCAUUCUCAGCAAAGCACACCAGGAGAUUUCAGUUCCGUAAAUGCAACUUCUCAAGUCUUCCUGGUUCCUCAUGGAAAAUAUACUCAGGUUACUGGCAAAGAUGUUCUUUCUGUCCAAGAUAAGGUCCUCACAGAUUGGAAUCAAUGAAUGGAAGUUUACCCAUUUUAGAUCUCCAACAUGUCAUCCGAAACCCAUCUGUAAUUACCUUGAAUGGUUGUAAAGACUGCCUUUAGCAAGUUUAGUCAUCUGGUUCAAACAUCUGGACUCCAGAUAUAAUUCCUGACUAUGCCAACAGUGACAUCUUGCUUCCUUGCCUGGUUAUUUAAUAAUGAAGAAAGCAAUGUGUUCAGCUGCAUUGUAACUACCCAGUCUGUGGAUGUGCACAGUCUGUUUUCUCUGAAGUUAUAGGGCCCAAGAGGGAAUAAGCAUGGCAGGCCUGCCUAGUGCUCACCAAACCAUGCUGUAGAGAUGGUUGUUUAUUCUGUGUACAGGGGCUGCCAAUUAACAGGCACAAUUUUUAAAAAUAAUUGAUUGAAUGCCCUUAAGUGGGUCACAUGCUGUCCAUUUCUAAUAUCUGCCUCCUCGUCCUCACCCCAUACAUGUACACUUUGCUUAUCACAUUUUUGGGACAUGCCUGCCUAUUGAAGACAUCUUAGUUUGUAUCAGCUGUAGCACUGCAGAACCAUUAAAAGAGUUUACGCUGAAAAUUCAGGUGAGUUUUAACCCUUAAUUAGGUAUUCUGGAGACCAGAUGAAAAUUGAUUGGAGAGGCUGUAGUUGGGGAUGCCAGUUAUUUGCUCAUCAUAUGUUUACUGAGUAUCUACUAAGUACCAGGCUCUGUCCUAAGUAUGGACAAAUGUAGAUAUCUAGACACAGUAUUGUACAUACAGUAGGGAAUCAAACAGAAAAUUAAAUGUUUGUCCUCAUGAAACUUACAUUUUGGUGAGAGGAAAAUGAUAAUAUAUAUGUAAAUUAUAUAGUAUGUUAGAUAGUAGUAAGUGCUAAGGAAAAAAAAAAAAAAAGCGUGGAAAGAGACCAAGACAUAAAGACUAAACUGGCAUCACUGAGAAGUUGACAAAUGAGUAAAGGUUAGAAGGAAAUGUGGGAGCAGGAUACGCGUGUAGCAGGGGAAGAGCAUUCCAGGCAGGAGAGCAGCGGGUACAAAGGUCCCAAGGCAGGAUUGUGCUUGACAUGUUUAGAUACUAGCCAAGGGUUAGUAUGACUGUAGUGAGGUUGGCAAAAAAGAGAGUAGUAGUAGAUGAGGUCAGAGAGGUGAUGGCAGACUGAUUAUAGGCCUCUAUAAGCCUUUUUUUUUUUUUUUUAAGUGACUUUUACUUGCAGUAAGAUAGGAAGACAUUAGCAAGUUUUAUCAGAAGAGAGAUAACAUCUGACUUAGGAAGAGAAGGGAUCACUCUGACCAGCACAUAGAAAACAGACUAUAGGAGGGUAAGGUUGAAGUUAGGGAGAGGAAUUAUAAAGCUGUUGUAAUCAUGUAGGUGAAAGAUGGUGGUGGCUUGGACCAGAGCGAUAGCAGUGGAGAUAGUAGGAGGUGGUCAGAUUCUGGGCAGCUGGAAGGUAGAGAAGACAACAUUUACUAAUGGAUGGAUAUUGAGUGUGAAAGAGACGAAUCAAGACUAAGACUGUGGCCUGAGCAGCUAGGACAAUAGAGUUGCAGGAGAAGUAAGCUUGAGGGGAAUGACCAGCAGCUCAGUUUUUGAUGUGGGAUGUUGCAAAUGCUUAUUAGUGAGUCCAGUGGGGAUACAGACUAGACAGUUGGAUAUAUGAGCCUGGAGUUUGGGAAAGAUGGCUAGGCUGAGGAUAUAAACAUGGGAGUUGUCAGCAUGUAUGUGAUAUUUAAAAUGAGUCUGUCUGAAAUUAUCUAGGAAGGCAAAGUAAACAGGAGAGUGAAGAGGACCCGGACUAAGUUCUAGAACUGUCCAACAGUAAGAGGCUAGAGAGAACUUGAGGAACCACAAAGGAAGAUUAAUGAAGAGACACCAGAAAUGAAAGAGAAAAUCCAAGCAAUAGUGUUGACCUGGAAGCCAAGAUGAACAAGAAGGUAAUCAAAUAAGAAGGAAUAAGCAGCUGUGUCCAGUGCUACUGUUAGGUCAAGCAGAAUGAAGACUGGGUACUCACCAUUGCAGGUAGUGAUGCAGGGGUCAUUGGAAGUGAUGUUGACAAGCAUUUUUGAUAGAGAGGUGGCAACAAGAGCCUGAUUGGCGUGGCUCUAAGAGAGAUUGAAGGGAGAGGAAUUGGGGCAGUGAAGACAGAAUAUUCAUUUAAGUUUUUCUGCUGACAAGAACAAAUAAAUGGCAUAGUAGUUGCCGGUGAGGGAAGUGAGAUCAAGAGUUGUAUUUAUUUAUUUAUUUAUUUAUUCAUAAGUUACAAGACUUAACAGCACCAAGGUGAUGGGAAUGACUAGUACAGAACAAAAAUUCAUGAUAUAGGAUAAAGAGGGGAGGAUUGCUAGAAUGAUAUACUUGGUUGAGAAGUUGGGUACAUUUCCCAAGAGUUCAGUGUAGGCAUUUAGGCACCACAGGCACAUAGAUGAUAUUUAAAGCCAAAACACUAGAUGAGCUUACUGUCUUAAUCCAUUUGCACUGCCCUAGCAAAAUUACUAUAAGCUGGGUAGCUUAUGAACAACAAACAUUUAUUUCUCACAGUUCUGCAGGCUGGAAAGUCCAAGAGCAAGGAGCUUUCAGAUGCGUGUCAGGUGAGGGCCUGUUCCUCAUAGAGAGCACCUUCUCUCUGUGUCCUCACAUGGUGGAAGGGGUUUCUUUCAUAAGGGCAUUAAUCCCAUUCAUGGGGGCUCUGCCCUCAUAGUCUAGUCACUUCCCCAAAAGCCCUAGCUGUUAGCAUUUUUCAUACUAGGGAUUAGGUUUCAAUAUAUGAAUUUGGGGAGGACACAAACAUUCAGACCUUCACACUUACCAAGGGGUGAAUAAAAAAUAGAAAAGAAGUCAAACAACUGGUUAGAAGUUAGAGAAAUGUGCAGGAACAAAUAAGGAGACUGAGAAGGACCAGAAAGUAAUGUGGGAGAAAAAUCAAGACCAUGCUGGCUUGGAAAUUAAGAAAGUAUUCCUAGGUGGAAAGAAGGAUCCCCUGAGUUAAACACAGCUGAUAGGUCAAGUAAGAUGACAACCAAGAACUGACCAUUGCAUUUAAUAACAUGGAGGCUAAUUGGUGACCUUGAACCGAGUGGUUUUGGAGGAGUGGUGCCUGAGUGGAAUUGGUGAAAGUCUAACUAGAGUCUUUUAAAAAGAGAAUGAGAGGAGAGAAAUUGAGGGAAAAGUAAGCAAUUUUUUUGAAUUAUUUUGUGAAGGGAAAGGGAGGAGAAACUGAUUCAAAAGAAGGCUUUUAAAGGAAAGACAAAAUAACUGUGUAUUCUGGAGAGAGGGAAAAAUGAUGUAGAGGAUUGAACUGCUGGAGUGAUGUGCUCAGUAGGCUGAGUAGGUGGGUUUUUCAACAACACUUUAUUCAUUGUCAAGAAGUCAGGGCAGAGUAUGUGGGCACAGGUGGGCAGAUGUGGUUUGGGAAUCUUGCAGAAGUUUGCCUUCUGAUUGCUCUUCUAUUCUUGGUGAAAUAGGAAGCAGCAAAUUUAUAGUCUGAGUGGGGAUGGUUAGGAA
Long non-coding RNA from Cercocebus atys (sooty mangabey), 6390 nucleotides. RefSeq lists it as uncharacterized. The transcript has 2 exons. The record is from RefSeq and is a predicted model, not a curated record. NCBI's taxonomy places the organism in Eukaryota, Metazoa, Chordata, Mammalia, Primates, Cercopithecidae.